Molecule: ribosomal RNA, 450 nt
Filed under: uncultured bacterium
Lineage: Bacteria
Description: partial 16S ribosomal RNA
Rfam family: Bacterial small subunit ribosomal RNA
Source: RNAcentral
CCUACGGGUGGCUGCAGUGGGGAAUUUUGGACAAUGGGCGCAAGCCUGAUCCAGCCAUGCCGCGUGAGUGAAGAAGGCCUUCGGGUUGUAAAGCUCUUUCGGCCGGAACGAAAUCGUCCGGGCUAAUACCUCGGAUGGAUGACGGUACUGGAAGAAGAAGCACCGGCUAACUACGUGCCAGCAGCCGCGGUAAUACGUAGGGUGCAGGCGUUGCUCGGAAUUUCCGGGGGUAAAGCGUGCGCUGGGAGCUGAAAUCCCCGGGCUUAACCUGGGAACUGCGUUUGAAACUGGGAGGCUGGAGUGCGGCAGAGGGGGGUGGAAUUCCACGUGUAGCAGUGAAAUGCGUAGAUAUGUGGAGGAACACCGAUGGCGAAGGCAGCCCCCUGGGCCUGCACUGACGCUCAUGCACGAAAGCGUGGGGAGCAAACAGGAUUAGAUACCCGUGUAGUC